Molecule: ribosomal RNA, 498 nt
Filed under: uncultured bacterium
Lineage: Bacteria
Description: partial 16S ribosomal RNA
Rfam family: Bacterial small subunit ribosomal RNA
Source: RNAcentral
GACGAACGCUGGCGGCGUGCCUAAUACAUGCAAGUCGAACGAGAGCGACCGGUGCUUGCGCUGGUCAAUCUAGUGGCGAACGGGUGAGUAACACGUGGGUAACCUGCCCAUCAGAGGGGGAUAACAUCCGGAAACGGAUGCUAAAACCGCAUAGGUCUUCGAACCGCAUGGUUUGAUGAGGAAAAGAGGCGCAAGCUUCUGCUGAUGGAUGGUCCCGCGGUGCAUUAGCUAGUGGGUGAGGUAACGGCUCACCAAGGCCGUGAUGCAUAGCCGACCUGAGGGGGUGAUCGGCCACAUUGGGACUGAGACACGGACCAAACUACUACGGGAGGCAGCAGUAGGGAAUCUUCCGCAAUGGACGCAAGUCUGACGGAGCAACGCCGCGUGAGUGAAGAAGGUUUUCGGAUCGUAAAACUCUGUUGUUAGAGAAGAACAAGUGCUAGAGUAACUGUUAGCGCCUUGACGGUAACUAACCAGAAAGCCACGGCUAACUACGUG